RNAcentral lists this ribosomal RNA (253 nucleotides) under uncultured bacterium. RNAcentral describes it as "partial 16S ribosomal RNA". It matches the Rfam family "Bacterial small subunit ribosomal RNA", at positions 524 to 776 of the family's 1533-position model. The record is from RNAcentral.
GACGUAGGGCGCGAGCGUUGUCCGGAUUUAUUGGGCGUAAAGAGCUCGUAGGCGGCUCAUUGCGUCAACCGUGAAAUCCUGCUGCUCAACGGCAGGUCUGCGGUUGAUACGGGUGGGCUGGAGUUCGGUAGGGGAGACUGGAAUUCAUGGUGUAGCAGUGAAAUGCGUAGAGAUCAUGAGGAAGACCAGUGGCGAAGGCGGGUCUCUGGACAGUUCCUGACACUGAGACACGAAGGCCAGGGGAGCAAACGGG